AGAGUUUGAUCAUGGCUCAGAUUGAACGCUGGCGGCAGGCCUAACACAUGCAAGUCGAGCGGUAGCACAGAGAGCUUGCUCUCGGGUGACGAGCGGCGGACGGGUGAGUAAUGUCUGGGAAACUGCCUGAUGGAGGGGGAUAACUACUGGAAACGGUAGCUAAUACCGCAUAAUGUCGCAAGACCAAAGUGGGGGACCUUCGGGCCUCAUGCCAUCAGAUGUGCCCAGAUGGGAUUAGCUAGUAGGUGGGGUAACGGCUCACCUAGGCGACGAUCCCUAGCUGGUCUGAGAGGAUGACCAGCCACACUGGAACUGAGACACGGUCCAGACUCCUACGGGAGGCAGCAGUGGGGAAUAUUGCACAAUGGGCGCAAGCCUGAUGCAGCCAUGCCGCGUGUGUGAAGAAGGCCUUCGGGUUGUAAAGCACUUUCAGCGGGGAGGAAGGCGAUAAGGUUAAUAACCUUGGCGAUUGACGUUACCCGCAGAAGAAGCACCGGCUAACUCCGUGCCAGCAGCCGCGGUAAUACGGAGGGUGCAAGCGUUAAUCGGAAUUACUGGGCGUAAAGCGCACGCAGGCGGUCUGUCAAGUCGGAUGUGAAAUCCCCGGGCUCAACCUGGGAACUGCAUUCGAAACUGGCAGGCUAGAGUCUUGUAGAGGGGGGUAGAAUUCCAGGUGUAGCGGUGAAAUGCGUAGAGAUCUGGAGGAAUACCGGUGGCGAAGGCGGCCCCCUGGACAAAGACUGACGCUCAGGUGCGAAAGCGUGGGGAGCAAACAGGAUUAGAUACCCUGGUAGUCCACGCCGUAAACGAUGUCGAUUUGGAGGUUGUGCCCUUGAGGCGUGGCUUCCGGAGCUAACGCGUUAAAUCGACCGCCUGGGGAGUACGGCCGCAAGGUUAAAACUCAAAUGAAUUGACGGGGGCCCGCACAAGCGGUGGAGCAUGUGGUUUAAUUCGAUGCAACGCGAAGAACCUUACCUGGUCUUGACAUCCACAGAACUUUCCAGAGAUGGAUUGGUGCCUUCGGGAACUGUGAGACAGGUGCUGCAUGGCUGUCGUCAGCUCGUGUUGUGAAAUGUUGGGUUAAGUCCCGCAACGAGCGCAACCCUUAUCCUUUGUUGCCAGCGGUCCGGCCGGGAACUCAAAGGAGACUGCCAGUGAUAAACUGGAGGAAGGUGGGGAUGACGUCAAGUCAUCAUGGCCCUUACGACCAGGGCUACACACGUGCUACAAUGGCAUAUACAAAGAGAAGCGACCUCGCGAGAGCAAGCGGACCUCAUAAAGUAUGUCGUAGUCCGGAUUGGAGUCUGCAACUCGACUCCAUGAAGUCGGAAUCGCUAGUAAUCGUAGAUCAGAAUGCUACGGUGAAUACGUUCCCGGGCCUUGUACACACCGCCCGUCACACCAUGGGAGUGGGUUGCAAAAGAAGUAGGUAGCUUAACCUUCGGGAGGGCGCUUACCACUUUGUGAUUCAUGACUGGGGUGAAGUCGUAACAAGGUAACCGUAGGGGAACCUGCGGUUGGAUCACCU
RNAcentral lists this ribosomal RNA (1528 nucleotides) under Klebsiella pneumoniae. Its description in RNAcentral is "bacterial SSU rRNA". It matches the Rfam family "Bacterial small subunit ribosomal RNA". The record is from RNAcentral. Lineage: Bacteria; Pseudomonadati; Pseudomonadota; Gammaproteobacteria; Enterobacterales; Enterobacteriaceae.